AUUGAACGCUGGCGGCAUGCUUUACACAUGCAAGUCGAACGGUAACAGGGCUUUUGCUGCUGGCUUCAGCGGAAGAGGGGAGUAAAGCGUCUAGACGUGCGCAUGGUAGUGGGGUAACGCAUCCAAAACCGUGCGCUAAUCCCGCAUGAUUCGUGAGUGAAAAAGUGGGAGCACCUCGCACUUCAUGCUAUCACGUCUCUGUAGCUCGCGUUGUCUGAUUAGUUAGGUGGGGGCGUAAAAGCCUACCAAUCCGACGAUCUGUAGCUGGUCUGAGAGGACGACGAGCCAAGCUGGGAAUGAGACACGGCGCAGACUCCUACGGGAGGAAGCAGUGGGGAAUUUUGGACAAUGGGCGCAAGCCUGAUCCAGCAAUGCCGCGUGCGGAAAGAAGGCCUUCGGGUUGUAAACCGCUUUUGUACGGAACGAAAAGGCUCUGGCUAAUACCUGGGGCUGAUGACGGUACCGUAAGAAUAAGCACCGGCUAACUACGUG
This 492-nucleotide ribosomal RNA is filed under the name uncultured bacterium. RNAcentral's name for it is "partial 16S ribosomal RNA". It matches the Rfam family "Bacterial small subunit ribosomal RNA", at positions 30 to 507 of the family's 1533-position model. The record is from RNAcentral.